This 370-nucleotide long non-coding RNA is filed under the name Phascolarctos cinereus (koala). Its description in RNAcentral is "lncRNA (ENSPCIG00000037254.1)". Lineage: Eukaryota; Metazoa; Chordata; Mammalia; Diprotodontia; Phascolarctidae. The record is from RNAcentral.
CCGAGAGACAGCUGAGAGAGAUGGUCGCUAGGCAUACACAAAGGAGCAAGAGAAAGCAUCUGCCAUAGAAGGCCUUUCCGUCUAUUUAGGGUUGGAGGGCGCAGGACGUUUUCCUAAAAUGACAACAAUAGAAACGAGCACCAUCUCGGUUUCCCUUUGAUUUCGGGAGCUGGCUGUGAUUGAGACCGGGGCCACAGGCGAUCCAAUCAAAAGGGAAGUGAGCUUCCCUCCGGUGGGUCUGCGGAUAAGAAAAGAAUGCUAAUGAGGUGAAGACGACGCUGAGAAAGGCAGCGAAGAGUUGCCUCUGAAGUAUUGCCUAGUCUCAUCCAUCCUCUCUCUGCUAAGACACUGUUCGGUUACUGGCGUUCUG